This is a long non-coding RNA of Engraulis encrasicolus (European anchovy), 1586 nucleotides long. RefSeq lists it as uncharacterized. NCBI's taxonomy places the organism in Eukaryota, Metazoa, Chordata, Actinopteri, Clupeiformes, Engraulidae. The transcript has 6 exons. The record is from RefSeq and is a predicted model, not a curated record.
GUGGAUGAAAACAUUGUGUCAAUAUGCUAUGUCUAUGUUCGCCUUAUUCACCCGGAACGUUCUAAAGACGUUGAGGGGUACACUUCAGGGGUACAUUCGGCAACGCACCAGCUGUCAUGCCGCCUCACUUUUGUGUGCCCAAAUGUUCGUCCUCAAAGAGAAAAAAAAUCCUACCGUGGACAGACUUUCCACCGUUUCCCCAAAGAGCAGGCACUUCGCCGUGAAUGUAUAAAUCACAUCAAGAGGGAUCCUGGUCCAUAUUUCAAGAUCAACGCUGAGACCAAGGUUUGCUCUGAGCACUUUGAGAAGCAGUGUUUUGUAAAGACCGCCCGUGGUAUCACAAAGCUUAUAAGGAUGCCGUGCCACUUUGUUCGCCUGGACUUCAGAGAGGCCAACGAGGAGAAUCAUCAUUCGCAGACCGAGAGAUGAUGACCCAUUCCUGAAGUUGGACGCCAGAAUGCAGGAAGGUGCUGUUUAAGAGCCUAGGCGGUGGAAGAAGCACUUGCAGGUAUGCUACCGACCAGGCUCCUCAACAUCAAUCCGAGACGGAAGAUGAACCGGGAUGAAGCAGUUAGAUUGAGACAAGGCGGCCGGAAACUUUGAUGACCUCAAUGACACUGGCUAGGUGAAGGACAUCAAGAAAAUGGCAUCCGGUCACCAGACAUCAGCUCAUAAGCCACAACGUCAUCAACCAUUUUGCGCCAAAAAUGAAGCCGUUCACAUACCAUGGCAUCCUAAGCAGGCAGCACCACACUACUGUGCAACAGUGAGAGAGAGCGGGCAAGGACAAGUAAAACGGACCUACACUACAGCAAGACUUUGACACUUCUCCACGUGAGAGGCAGCCAUCGCCCCCACCGUGGAGCAGUGUGUACCCAGUACCCCCAAAAGAGGAGAUGAUCCAACGCCAUCACAGCCGAUUUCCAAAAUUGUACACCAAACUCUGUAUGGGCGUGUGUGUGUGUGUGUGUGUGUGUGAGAUAUUGUAAAACUUCUCAGUCCUUCUUCUAUACUAUACAGUGUAUAAAUAUGCAUGUGAAAACCUAAAUAUGCAUUAAAAACCAUUACUGAGGUUAAGAAAUGCAUUAUAACAAAUACAUCUGAUUCAGGUGUACUGUACAUUGAAAUGUCUUUAUUUGCCACAAAUACAUCACAUCCUGGAAACCUGUACAAUGUGUGGAUUCAAAGGUCUGCCAGAUCUUUGUGAUGGCACAGGAUUGCAGUGGAACCCAAACAUAGCCUAGGAACUCCCACGCCAUCUCACCAACUGCCGAUAUGCAGUAUGCCUGAAUUUCCUGUACAGCAAAGAAAUGUAGAGAUUGUGCCUUCAUCGAGAAUAGGUCAUUUGGAAUCACAACAAUUAUUCAAUUUACUUUGUGCGUGUGGUGUAGCUAUUGCUGUUAUUAUGUUACUACUAGUGACCCAUUUAGUUGAGCUUAAUAGUCUACAUGACAUCUCUGCACUUGUGUUACCACUAUUGGGAUUGGCUGCUCCCUAAAUGAAAAUGAGAAAAACUUGCCCGGAUGAAAUGUUAUGAACUGUGUGCGUUGUGCUGCUUGCUGAAGUAACAUGACACCCACAUCACC